AGAUUGAACGCUGGCGGCAUGCUUUACACAUGCAAGUCGAGCGGCAGCGCGGGGCUCAGGCAACUGCGUCCUGGCGGCGAGCGGCGAACGGGUGAGGAAUACGAUCGGAACGUACCCCGGAGUGGGGGAUAACGCCGCGAAAGCGGCGCUAAUACCGCAUAUGCUCUGUGGAGGAAAGUGGGGGAUUCGCAAGGACCUCACGCUCUGGGCGCGGCCGAUGUCCGAUUAGCUAGUUGGUGAGGUAAUGGCUCGACCAAGGCGACGAUCGGUAGCUGGUCUGAGAGGAUGAUCAGCCACACUGGGACUGAGACACGGCCCAGACUCCGACGGGAGGCCAGCAGGUGGGGUAAGUUUGGACGAAGUGGGACACCCGUGUACUCCGAGCCAUCGCCGCGUGGACGGAAGAACGG
RNAcentral lists this ribosomal RNA (410 nucleotides) under uncultured soil bacterium. RNAcentral describes it as "bacterial SSU rRNA". It matches the Rfam family "Bacterial small subunit ribosomal RNA", at positions 26 to 415 of the family's 1533-position model. The record is from RNAcentral.